UUAAGCGACUAAGCGUACACGGUGGAUGCCCUGGCAGUCAGAGGCGAUGAAGGACGUGCUAAUCUGCGAAAAGCGUCGGUAAGGUGAUAUGAACCGUUACAGCCGGCGAUGUCCGAAUGGGGAAACCCAGUGCAAUUCGUUGCACUAUCGUUAACUGAAUACAUAGGUUAACGAGGCGAACCGGGGGAACUGAAACAUCUAAGUACCCCGAGGAAAAGAAAUCAACCGAGAUUCCCCCAGUAGCGGCGAGCGAACGGGGAGCAGCCCAGAGUCUGAAUCAGCUUGUGUGUUAGUGGAACGGUCUGGAAAGUCCGACGGUACAGGGUGAUAGUCCCGUACACCAAAAUGCACAGGCUGUGAACUCGAAGAGUAGGGCGGGACACGUGGUAUCCUGUCUGAAUAUGGGGGGACCAUCCUCCAAGGCUAAAUACUCCUGACUGACCGAUAGUGAACCAGUACCGUGAGGGAAAGGCGAAAAGAACCCCGGCGAGGGGAGUGAAAAAGAACCUGAAACCGUGUACGUACAAGCAGUGGGAGCACCUUCGGGUGUGACUGCGUACCUUUUGUAUAAUGGGUCAGCGACUUAUAUUCUGUAGCAAGGUUAACCGUAUAGGGGAGCCGCAGGGAAACCGAGUCUUAACUGGGCGUUAAGUUGCAGGGUAUAGACCCGAAACCCGGUGAUCUAGCCAUGGGCAGGUUGAAGGUUGGGUAACACUAACUGGAGGACCGAACCGACUAAUGUUGAAAAAUUAGCGGAUGACUUGUGGCUGGGGGUGAAAGGCCAAUCAAACCGGGAGAUAGCUGGUUCUCCCCGAAAGCUAUUUAGGUAGCGCCUCGUGAAUUCAUCUUCGGGGGUAGAGCACUGUUUCGGCUAGGGGGUCAUCCCGACUUACCAACCCGAUGCAAACUACGAAUACCGAAGAAUGUUAUCACGGGAGACACACGGCGGGUGCUAACGUCCGUCGUGAAGAGGGAAACAACCCAGACCGCCAGCUAAGGUCCCAAAGUCAUGGUUAAGUGGGAAACGAUGUGGGAAGGCACAGACAGCCAGGAUGUUGGCUUAGAAGCAGCCAUCAUUUAAAGAAAGCGUAAUAGCUCACUGGUCGAGUCGGCCUGCGCGGAAGAUGUAACGGGGCUAAACCAUGCACCGAAGCUGCGGCAGCGACACUAUGUGUUGUUGGGUAGGGGAGCGUUCUGUAAGCCUGCGAAGGUGACCUGUGAGGGUUGCUGGAGGUAUCAGAAGUGCGAAUGCUGACAUAAGUAACGAUAAAGCGGGUGAAAAGCCCGCUCGCCGGAAGACCAAGGGUUCCUGUCCAACGUUAAUCGGGGCAGGGUGAGUCGACCCCUAAGGCGAGGCCGAAAGGCGUAGUCGAUGGGAAACAGGUUAAUAUUCCUGUACUUGGUGUUACUGCGAAGGGGGGACGGAGAAGGCUAUGUUAGCCGGGCGACGGUUGUCCCGGUUUAAGCAUGUAGGCUGGUUGUCCAGGCAAAUCCGGAUAAUCAAGGCUGAGGUGUGAUGACGAGGCACUACGGUGCUGAAGUAACAAAUGCCCUGCUUCCAGGAAAAGCCUCUAAGCAUCAGGUAACAUUAAAUCGUACCCCAAACCGACACAGGUGGUCAGGUAGAGAAUACCAAGGCGCUUGAGAGAACUCGGGUGAAGGAACUAGGCAAAAUGGUGCCGUAACUUCGGGAGAAGGCACGCUGGUGUGUAGGUGAAGUCCCUGCGGAUGGAGCUGAGACCAGUCGAAGAUACCAGCUGGCUGCAACUGUUUAUUAAAAACACAGCACUGUGCAAACACGAAAGUGGACGUAUACGGUGUGACGCCUGCCCGGUGCCGGAAGGUUAAUUGAUGGGGUUAUCCGUAAGGAGAAGCUCUUGAUCGAAGCCCCGGUAAACGGCGGCCGUAACUAUAACGGUCCUAAGGUAGCGAAAUUCCUUGUCGGGUAAGUUCCGACCUGCACGAAUGGCGUAAUGAUGGCCAGGCUGUCUCCACCCGAGACUCAGUGAAAUUGAACUCGCUGUGAAGAUGCAGUGUACCCGCGGCAAGACGGAAAGACCCCGUGAACCUUUACUAUAGCUUGACACUGAACAUUGAGCCUUGAUGUGUAGGAUAGGUGGGAGGCUUUGAAGCGUGGACGCCAGUCUGCGUGGAGCCAACCUUGAAAUACCACCCUUUAAUGUUUGAUGUUCUAACGUUGGCCCCUUACCGGGGUUGCGGACAGUGUCUGGUGGGUAGUUUGACUGGGGCGGUCUCCUCCCAAAGCGUAACGGAGGAGCACGAAGGUUAGCUAAUCCUGGUCGGACAUCAGGAGGUUAGUGCAAUGGCAUAAGCUAGCUUGACUGCGAGCGUGACGGCGCGAGCAGGUGCGAAAGCAGGUCAUAGUGAUCCGGUGGUUCUGAAUGGAAGGGCCAUCGCUCAACGGAUAAAAGGUACUCCGGGGAUAACAGGCUGAUACCGCCCAAGAGUUCAUAUCGACGGCGGUGUUUGGCACCUCGAUGUCGGCUCAUCACAUCCUGGGGCUGAAGUAGGUCCCAAGGGUAUGGCUGUUCGCCAUUUAAAGUGGUACGCGAGCUGGGUUUAGAACGUCGUGAGACAGUUCGGUCCCUAUCUGCCGUGGGCGCUGGAGAAUUGAGGGGGGCUGCUCCUAGUACGAGAGGACCGGAGUGGACGCAUCACUGGUGUUCGGGUUGUCAUGCCAAUGGCACUGCCCGGUAGCUAAAUGCGGAAGAGAUAAGUGCUGAAAGCAUCUAAGCACGAAACUUGCCCCGAGAUGAGUUCUCCCUGAGACUUUAAGUCUCCUGAAGGAACGUUAAAGACGAUGACGUUGAUAGGCCGGGUGUGUAAGCGCAGCGAUGCGUUGAGCUAACCGGUACUAAUGAACCGUGAGGCUUAACCUU
RNAcentral lists this ribosomal RNA (2900 nucleotides) under Klebsiella pneumoniae. RNAcentral describes it as "bacterial LSU rRNA". It matches the Rfam family "Bacterial large subunit ribosomal RNA". RNAcentral also lists the same sequence under 4 other names. Lineage: Bacteria; Pseudomonadati; Pseudomonadota; Gammaproteobacteria; Enterobacterales; Enterobacteriaceae. The record is from RNAcentral.